RNAcentral lists this unclassified non-coding RNA (342 nucleotides) under soil metagenome. Its description in RNAcentral is "partial contains 5.8S ribosomal RNA, internal transcribed spacer 2, and large subunit ribosomal RNA". The stretch from base 1 to 120 matches the Rfam family "5.8S ribosomal RNA", at positions 35 to 154 of the family's 154-position model. The record is from RNAcentral.
GAUGAAGAACGCAGCGAAAUGCGAUAAGUAGUGUGAAUUGCAGAAUUCAGUGAAUCAUCGAAUCUUUGAACGCACAUUGCGGCCAUAGGUAUUCCUUUGGCCAUGCCUGUUAGAGCGUCAUUUACACCCUCAAGCCUAGCUUGGUGUUGGGCGUCUGUCCCGCCGUUCUCGCGCGCGGACUCGCCUCAAAGUCAUUGGCGGCGGUCGUGCCGGCCCCCUCGCGCAGCACAUUUGCGCUUCUCGGAGGCCCGGCGGAUCCGCGCUCCAGCAAGACCUUUCACGACUUGACCUCGGAUCAGGUAGGGAUACCCGCUGAACUUAAGCAUAUCAAUAAGCGGAGGA